Molecule: non-coding RNA, 94 nt
Organism: Crucibulum laeve
Lineage: Eukaryota; Fungi; Basidiomycota; Agaricomycetes; Agaricales; Nidulariaceae
Source: the annotation of a GenBank genome assembly
UCUCUGUUAGUAUAUCGGUUAGUACACGCGCCUGUCACGCCAUACAUCAGUACAUCGUGCGCGCGAAAGCUGGGUUCGACUCCCAGACAGAGAG